GACGAACGCUGGCGGCGUGCUUAACACAUGCAAGUCGAACGGAAAGGCCCUGCUUUUGUGGGGUGCUCGAGUGGCGAACGGGUGAGUAACACGUGAGUAACCUGCCCUUGACUUUGGGAUAACUUCAGGAAACUGGGGCUAAUACCGGAUAGGAGCUCCUGCUGCAUGGUGGGGGUUGGAAAGUUUCGGCGGUUGGGGAUGGACUCGCGGCUUAUCAGCUUGUUGGUGGGGUAGUGGCUUACCAAGGCUUUGACGGGUAGCCGGCCUGAGAGGGUGACCGGCGACAUAGGGACUGAGAGACGGCCCAGAAUCCAACGGGAGGCAACAGUGGAGAAUAUGGCACAAUGGGCGGAAGCCUGAUGCAGAAACGCCGCGUGCGGGAUGACGGCCUUCGGGUUGUAAACCGCUUUCGACUGUGACGAAGCGUGAGUGACGGUAAUGGGUAAAGAAGCACCGGCUAAAUACGUG
Molecule: ribosomal RNA, 468 nt
Filed under: uncultured bacterium
Lineage: Bacteria
Description: partial 16S ribosomal RNA
Rfam family: Bacterial small subunit ribosomal RNA
Source: RNAcentral